RNAcentral lists this ribosomal RNA (253 nucleotides) under uncultured bacterium. RNAcentral's name for it is "partial 16S ribosomal RNA". It matches the Rfam family "Bacterial small subunit ribosomal RNA", at positions 524 to 776 of the family's 1533-position model. The record is from RNAcentral.
UACGUAGGGGGCAAGCGUUAUCCGGAUUUACUGGGUGUAAAGGGAGCGUAGACGGCACUGCAAGUCUGGAGUGAAAGCCCGUGGCCCAACCACGGGACUGCUCUGGAAACUGUGUUGCUGGAGUGCAGGAGGGGUAAGCGGAAUUCCUAGUGUAGCGGUGAAAUGCGUAGAUAUUAGGAGGAACACCGGUGGCGAAGGCGGCUUACUGGACUGUAACUGACGUUGAGGCUCGAAAGCGUGGGGAGCAAACAGG